RNAcentral lists this ribosomal RNA (256 nucleotides) under uncultured bacterium. RNAcentral's name for it is "partial 16S ribosomal RNA". It matches the Rfam family "Bacterial small subunit ribosomal RNA", at positions 524 to 776 of the family's 1533-position model. The record is from RNAcentral.
UACAGAGGUCCCGAGCGUUGUUCGGAUUCACUGGGCGUAAAGGGUGCGUAGGUGGUGGGGUAAGUCGGAUGUGAAAGCUCGGAGCUCAACUCCGAAAUGGCAUUGGAAACUACCCUGCUGGAGGUUUUGGGAGGGGGGGACUGGAAUACUUGGUGUAGCAGUGAAAUGCGUAGAUAUCAAGUGGAACACCAGUGGCGAAGGCGAGUCCCUGGACAAAACCUGACACUGAGGCACGAAAGCUAGGGGAGCAAACAGG